AUUUCGAACCGCAGGGUUCGAUAGUGAAAGAUGGCUUUGCUAUCACUUAUAGAUGGACCUGCGCCGUAUUAGCUAGUUGGUAAGGUAACGGCUUACCAAGGCAACGAUACGUAGCCGACCUGAGAGGGUGAUCGGCCACACCGGAACUGAGACACGGUCCAGACUCCUACGGGAGGCAGCAGUAGGGAAUCUUCCGCAAUGGGCGAAAGCCUGACGGAGCAACGCCGCGUGAGUGAUGAAGGUCUUCGGAUCGUAAAACUCUGUUAUUAGGGAAGAACAAACGUGUAAGUAACUGUGCACGUCUUGACGGUACCUAAUCAGAAAGCCACGGCUAACUACGUGCCAGCAGCCGCGGUAAUACGUAGGUGGCAAGCGUUAUCCGGAAUUAUUGGGCGUAAAGCGCGCGUAGGCGGUUUUUUAAGUCUGAUGUGAAAGCCCACGGCUCAACCGUGGAGGGUCAUUGGAAACUGGAAAACUUGAGUGCAGAAGAGGAAAGUGGAAUUCCAUGUGUAGCGGUGAAAUGCGCAGAGAUAUGGAGGAACACCAGUGGCGAAGGCGACUUUCUGGUCUGUAACUGACGCUGAUGUGCGAAAGCGUGGGGAUCAAACGGGAUUAGAUACCCUGGUAGUCCACGCCGUAAACGCAUGAGUGCUAAGUGUUUAGGGGGUUUCCGCCCCUUAGUGCUGCAGCUAACGCAUUAAGCACUCCGCCUGGGGAGUUAGACCGCAAGGUUGAAACUCACCGGAAUCGAUGGGGACCCGCAC
Molecule: ribosomal RNA, 764 nt
Filed under: Staphylococcus hominis
Lineage: Bacteria; Bacillati; Bacillota; Bacilli; Caryophanales; Staphylococcaceae
Description: bacterial SSU rRNA
Rfam family: Bacterial small subunit ribosomal RNA
Source: RNAcentral